GCCCCCCAGGCUCCCCCGGUCGCUCUCCUCCGGCGGUCGCCCGCGCUCGGUGGAUGUGGCUGGCAGCUGCCGCCCCCUCCCUCGCUCGCCGCCUGCUCUUCCUCGGCCCUCCGCCUCCUCCCCUCCUCCUUCUCGUCUUCAGCCGCUCCUCUCGCCGCCGCCUCCACAGCCUGGGCCUCGCCGCGAUGCCGGAGAAGAGGCCCUUCGAGCGGCUGCCUGCCGAUGUCUCCCCCAUCAACUGCAGCCUUUGCCUCAAGCCCGACUUGCUGGACUUCACCUUCGAGGGCAAGCUGGAGGCCGCCGCCCAGGUGAGGCAGGCGACUAAUCAGAUUGUGAUGAAUUGUGCUGAUAUUGAUAUUAUUACAGCUUCAUAUGCACCAGAAGGAGAUGAAGAAAUACAUGCUACAGGAUUUAACUAUCAGAAUGAAGAUGAAAAAGUCACCUUGUCUUUCCCUAGUACUCUGCAAACAGGUACAGGAACCUUAAAGAUAGAUUUUGUUGGAGAGCUGAAUGACAAAAUGAAAGGUUUCUAUAGAAGUAAGUAUACUACCCCUUCUGGAGAGGUGCCCUAUGCUGCUGUAACACAGUUUGAGAAUGUAAUUGACCGGAAACCAUACCCUGAUGAUGAAAAUUUAGUGGAAGUGAAGUUUGCCCGCACACCUGUUACAUCUACAUAUCUGGUGGCAUUUGUUGUGGGUGAAUAUGACUUUGUAGAAACAAGGUCAAAAGAUGGUGUGUGUGUCUGUGUUUACACUCCUGUUGGCAAAGCAGAACAAGGAAAAUUUGCAUUAGAGGUUGCUGCUAAAACCUUGCCUUUUUAUAAGGACUACUUCAAUGUUCCUUAUCCUCUACCUAAAAUUGAUCUCAUUGCUAUUGCAGACUUUGCAGCUGGUGCCAUGGAGAACUGGGACCUUGUUACUUAUAGGGAGACUGCAUUGCUUAUUGAUCCAAAAAAUUCCUGUUCUUCAUCCCGCCAGUGGGUUGCUCUGGUUGUGGGACAUGAACUUGCCCAUCAAUGGUUUGGAAAUCUUGUUACUAUGGAAUGGUGGACUCAUCUUUGGUUAAAUGAAGGUUUUGCAUCCUGGAUUGAAUAUCUGUGUGUAGACCACUGCUUCCCAGAGUAUGAUAUUUGGACUCAGUUUGUUUCUGCUGAUUACACCCGUGCCCAGGAGCUUGACGCCUUAGAUAACAGCCAUCCUAUUGAAGUCAGUGUGGGCCAUCCAUCUGAGGUUGAUGAGAUAUUUGAUGCUAUAUCAUAUAGCAAAGGUGCAUCUGUCAUCCGAAUGCUGCAUGACUACAUUGGGGAUAAGGACUUUAAGAAAGGAAUGAACAUGUAUUUAACCAAGUUCCAACAAAAGAAUGCUGCCGCAGGUAAUCUUUAAUAGCUUGAGAUAGAAAUGGAGAGAAAGUAUUGUCACUCUAUCCAGGCUGGGACAUUUUAUUUUUGUUCUGAAUACUUAACUCAAGGUCAGGAUCCAUGUAAUAAAUAAAUUAGCCUUAUUUGAA
Homo sapiens (human) is the source of this 1506-nucleotide long non-coding RNA. Ensembl annotates it as NPEPPS pseudogene 1. Its record names the gene NPEPPSP1. NCBI's taxonomy places the organism in Eukaryota, Metazoa, Chordata, Mammalia, Primates, Hominidae. The record is from Ensembl.